Molecule: ribosomal RNA, 465 nt
Filed under: uncultured bacterium
Lineage: Bacteria
Description: partial 16S ribosomal RNA
Rfam family: Bacterial small subunit ribosomal RNA
Source: RNAcentral
GACGAACGCUGGCGGCGUGCUUAACACAUGCAAGUCGAACGGAAAGGCCCCUUUGGGGGUACUCGAGUGGCGAACGGGUGAGUAACACGUGAGUAACCUGCCCUUGACUUCGGGAUAACUUCAGGAAACUGGGGCUAAUACCGGAUAGGAAUCCUUGCUGCAUGGAGGGGGUUGGAAAGCUUCGGCGGUUUUGGAUGGACUCGCGGCUUAUCAGCUUGUUGGUGGGGUAGUGGCUUACCAAGGCUUUGACGGGUAGCCGGCCUGAGAGGGCGACCGGCCACAUUGGGACUGAGAUACGGCCCAGACGCCUACGGGAGGCAGCAGUGGGGAAUAUUGCACAAUGGGCGGAAGCCUGAUGCAGCAACGCCGCGUGCGGGAUGACGGCCUUCGGGUUGUAAACCGCUUUCAGCAGGGGCGAAGCUUGUGGUGACGGUACCUGCAGAAGAAGCACCGGCUAACUACGUG